Molecule: long non-coding RNA, 273 nt
Filed under: Vigna radiata
Lineage: Eukaryota; Viridiplantae; Streptophyta; Magnoliopsida; Fabales; Fabaceae
Description: long non-coding RNA (VRAD_LNC003145)
Source: RNAcentral
CGGUCCAAUUAAUGGUAAUAACACUUUAUCUUAAGUUAUCCAGCAUUAGAGUUAAUCUUCUUGUUAGUUGACCAUUUGGUCCACCUCUAUGGCUGUAUAUUAAUAGUAAUGGUUUGGGAAGGGAUCCGACUAAUGGUUGAUCGUCCAGUCUGUGCUUGACCGAAUGGUCAUACGAUACAUAGGCCCCCCACUCACGAGUUUGUUAUCACAGGCAAAGGGGUUUGUAAUAGGAUGAGGCUUUUGUCAUUCAAUCUUUUUUGAAGUAACAUCGGC